AGCUUCUAGCUUGCUAGAAUGCUGAUUAGUGGCGCACGGGUGAGUAACGCAUAGGUCAUGUGCCUCUUAGUUUGGGAUAGCCAUUGGAAACGAUGAUUAAUACCAGAUACUCCCUACGGGGGAAAGAUUUAUCGCUAAGAGAUCAGCCUAUGUCCUAUCAGCUUGUUGGUAAGGUAAUGGCUUACCAAGGCUAUGACGGGUAUCCGGCCUGAGAGGGUGAACGGACACACUGGAACUGAGACACGGUCCAGACUCCUACGGGAGGCAGCAGUAGGGAAUAUUGCUCAAUGGGGGAAACCCUGAAGCAGCAACGCCGCGUGGAGGAUGAAGGUUUUAGGAUUGUAAACUCCUUUUGUUAGAGAAGAUAAUGACGGUAUCUAACGAAUAAGCACCGGCUAACUCCGUGCCAGCAGCCGCGGUAAUACGGAGGGUGCAAGCGUUACUCGGAAUCACUGGGCGUAAAGAGCGCGUAGGCGGCAUAGUCAGUCAGGUGUGAAAUCCUAUGGCUUAA
This 511-nucleotide ribosomal RNA is filed under the name Helicobacter pylori. RNAcentral describes it as "bacterial SSU rRNA". It matches the Rfam family "Bacterial small subunit ribosomal RNA", at positions 70 to 612 of the family's 1533-position model. Lineage: Bacteria; Pseudomonadati; Campylobacterota; Epsilonproteobacteria; Campylobacterales; Helicobacteraceae. The record is from RNAcentral.